Molecule: ribosomal RNA, 376 nt
Filed under: uncultured bacterium
Lineage: Bacteria
Description: bacterial SSU rRNA
Rfam family: Bacterial small subunit ribosomal RNA
Source: RNAcentral
GAUGAACGCUGGCGGCGUGCUUAACACAUGCAAGUCGAACGAUGAAGCCCAGCUUGCUGGGUGGAUUAGUGGCGAACGGGUGAGUAACACGUGAGUAACCUGCCCUUAACUCUGGGAUGAGCCUGGGAAACUGGGUCUAAUACCGGAUAGGAGCGUCCACCGCAUGGUGGGUGUUGGAAAGAUUUAUCGGUUUUGGAUGGACUCGCGGCCUAUCAGCUUGUUGGUGAGGUAAUGGCUCACCAAGGCGACGACGGGUAGCCGGCCUGAGAGGGUGACCGGCCACACUGGGACUGAGACACGGCCCAGACUCCUACGGGAGGCAGCAGUGGGGAAUAUUGCACAAUGGGCGCAAGCCUGAUGCAGCGACGCCGCGUGA